This 243-nucleotide long non-coding RNA is filed under the name Anser brachyrhynchus (Pink-footed goose). RNAcentral's name for it is "lncRNA (ENSABRG00000009146.1)". Lineage: Eukaryota; Metazoa; Chordata; Aves; Anseriformes; Anatidae. The record is from RNAcentral.
GAUAAUGCUCCCAGUUUCAUAGUUUUACAGCCCGACCCCAGCCCAUGCCGUGGCUGAUUCCAGCCCUGCCCAUGCCUCCUCUGAUUGAUCCAGGAAUUCAUCCUACCUGUAUGCUAACUGCCUAAAGUGUUUUAAUGGCAAGAUAUCCGUAAUACAGUCUCUGAUUGAAACCAAACCAAAGGAAACCAAGCACAAGAAAUGUAAUUUCUGAACCAUUGAAGGAAAUGAGAGUCUGUCCAUGAG